GACGAACGCUGGCGGCGUGCUUAACACAUGCAAGUCGAACGGAAAGGCCCUGCUUUUGUGGGGUGCUCGAGUGGCGAACGGGUGAGUAACACGUGAGUAACCUGCCCUUGACUUUGGGAUAACUUCAGGAAACUGGGGCUAAUACCGGAUAGGAGCUCCUGCUGCAUGGUGGGGGUUGGAAAGUUUCGGCGGUUGGGGAUGGACUCGCGGCUUAUCAGCUUGUUGGUGGGGUAGUGGCUUACCAAGGCUUUGACGGGUAGCCGGCCUGAGAGGGUGACCGGCCACAUUGGGACUGAGAUACGGCCCAGACUCCUACGGGAGGCGGAAGUGAGGAAUAUUGCACAAUGGGCGGAAGCCUGAUGCAGCAACGCCGCGUGCGGGAUGACGGCCUUCGGGUUGUAAACCGCUUUCGCCUGUGACGAAGCGUGAGUGACGGUAAUGGGUAAAGAAGCAACGGCUAACUACGUG
RNAcentral lists this ribosomal RNA (468 nucleotides) under uncultured bacterium. Its description in RNAcentral is "partial 16S ribosomal RNA". It matches the Rfam family "Bacterial small subunit ribosomal RNA", at positions 28 to 507 of the family's 1533-position model. The record is from RNAcentral.